RNAcentral lists this unclassified non-coding RNA (418 nucleotides) under uncultured fungus. Its description in RNAcentral is "partial contains small subunit ribosomal RNA, internal transcribed spacer 1, and 5.8S ribosomal RNA". The stretch from base 1 to 73 matches the Rfam family "Eukaryotic small subunit ribosomal RNA", at positions 1759 to 1831 of the family's 1831-position model. Lineage: Eukaryota; Fungi. The record is from RNAcentral.
GCAAACUUGGUCAUUUAGAGGAAGUAAAAGUCGUAACAAGGUUUCCGUAGGUGAACCUGCGGAAGGAUCAUUAUCGAACAAAAUCGAACCUCAGGCUGCUUGCUGCUGGUUCCUUGGAACAUGUGCACGUCUGUGCGUUUGAUUUCUACUCCUUUCUCUCCUGUGCACUAGUGGUGGAGAUCGGUCCAAAAGCAACGAAACCUCUUCGAAGGACGACUUCGAUGGAAAGAAGAAGUUAGCAGCGCUUCCCGGCGCCGCUCGCUCUUUGAACGUUUGCUCCGGAUGGCUCUCCACUGUAUUCAUUUGUCACCCACCGUAUGAAUCGUUGAAGAAAAAAUAUAGACCUUUCGUGUCUUUUAAAUUGCGCAUAACUUUCAACAACGGAUCUCUUGGCUCUCGCAUCGAUGAAGAACGCAGC